GCGUAUGCAGCUGAAGAAGUUCUCUUUCAGGCUCAGGAGGCGUUGCCACGGCCUUCCGGCUGGUGGAAGCCGUCGAGGCGCCGGCAGUUGGACGGUCGAGUGACCACUUCGCAUUCCUGGGGAGAGCUGGCCAACAACAGUUACGCCUGGCUCAUGAGGACGGGUGGGAAGGUAGUUCCCUGUUUUCAGGGAGAACUUACAGCCAUCCGUCUGGCAGUCCGGGUGUGACUGAGGAGAAGUGCGAGUUUUCGCACAAGCAGUGCAGGCCCCUUGGGGCCGGGUCGCCUCUGCUCGUUUGGGCACCGCGCUGUUGACUGCGUGCAGUGUUCAGCGACGGACUGUCUGCUCGUGCGGGGGAUCGGCCACGCCUUGCACUGUGGUUGUUGGUGCCCAAAUGGCUGCAUCCGA
RNAcentral lists this ribosomal RNA (408 nucleotides) under Demospongiae sp. GW3417. RNAcentral's name for it is "eukaryotic LSU rRNA". The record is from RNAcentral. Lineage: Eukaryota; Metazoa; Porifera; Demospongiae.